This 786-nucleotide ribosomal RNA is filed under the name Lactiplantibacillus plantarum. RNAcentral describes it as "bacterial SSU rRNA". It matches the Rfam family "Bacterial small subunit ribosomal RNA", at positions 707 to 1488 of the family's 1533-position model. Lineage: Bacteria; Bacillati; Bacillota; Bacilli; Lactobacillales; Lactobacillaceae. The record is from RNAcentral.
CACCAGUGGCGCAGGGCGGCUGUCUGGUCUGUAACUGACGCCGAGGCUCUGAAAGUAUGGGUAGCAAACAGGAUUUAGAUACCCUGGUACGUCCAUACCGUAAACGAUGAAUGCUAAGUGUUGGAGGGUUUCCGCCCUUCAGUGCUGCAGCUAACGCAUUAAGCAUUCCGCCUGGGGAGUACGGCCGCAAGGCUGAAACUCAAAGGAAUUGACGGGGGCCCGCACAAGCGGUGGAGCAUGUGGUUUAAUUUGAAGCUACGCGAAGAACCUUACCAGGUCUUGACAUACUAUGCAAAUCUAAGAGAUUAGACGUUCCCUUCGGGGACAUGGAUACAGGUGGUGCAUGGUUGUCGUCAGCUCGUGUCGUGAGAUGUUGGGUUAAGUCCCGCAACGAGCGCAACCCUUAUUAUCAGUUGCCAGCAUUAAGUUGGGCACUCUGGUGAGACUGCCGGUGACAAACCGGAGGAAGGUGGGGAUGACGUCAAAUCAUCAUGCCCCUUAUGACCUGGGCUACACACGUGCUACAAUGGAUGGUACAACGAGUUGCGAACUCGCGAGAGUAAGCUAAUCUCUUAAAGCCAUUCUCAGUUCGGAUUGUAGGCUGCAACUCGCCUACAUGAAGUCGGAAUCGCUAGUAAUCGCGGAUCAGCAUGCCGCGGUGAAUACGUUCCCGGGCCUUGUACACACCGCCCGUCACACCAUGAGAGUUUGUAACACCCAAAGUCGGUGGGGUAACCUUUUAGGAACCAGCCGCCUAAGGUGGGACAGAUGAUUAGGGUGAAGUCG